AAAACUCCAGGUUUAAUCCUAUGACAUCAUAUCAGAUGAAAAGCCCAAUCAAAAUCCUAUACUAAGAGAAGCCAAUGGCUUCCUUAUCAUGCAACACAGAAAAACUCCGUCUUUAGCCAAAGUACUAAGGCCAUGACAUGCUAGAACUAGUGGUGUAAGCAGUAGAUAAGGAGUAAAGCCAUGGCAGUCAUGAGAACCAAAAUAAUGGAGCCAAUGAAGCAGCAGCUGCACCAUCGAAGCACGAUGAGCAAUGAUGACUCACAUUGCCUGACGUCCCACUCGCGCCUUACUCUCGCAACUCUGACGAUCAGAAUUUUAGAGUUCACAUGACUCCGUAGGUUUGUGGUGUAUGCAUAUGUGGUGAUGCUAGUAUUGCAACUCCAUCUAGGGAUUGGACUGUGAGGUUUUGGUCGCUUGACCCAUCAGAAGAGCGCAAGUAUUGGUCGUCAAGAAUCUUGUUUGGACAUUCAAGUUUUGUAGGUCCAUUGACUUGGAUUCCACCAAAUGAAGAGUACCCAGAAGGUGGGAUUGGGUCUGGUGGCAUGGAAAUACUGGUUUCGUUUGGAACAGUUGCAAGUCAGUGGCAGUGCAUUGGAUAAUGGGCACAUUGUGUCAUCCUCUGUUGAUUGGCUAUUUCAUUUGGUUGGGACCACUGGUUAACUUGUUUGAAAAUUUUGACUAUUCUGCUGCUUUCACUUAAUAUGUGACCUAUCUUCCUCUUUGGCUUUCUUCAUUGGAGUACUUUGAGAUGAUGGAGGAAAAGCCAGGUAAUUGAGUCCUGGGAUUGGGAGGCUCAUAAGUCAGCUAUGCAGGCAGUUAUCUGGCCAGCGUGUUACAGG
Long non-coding RNA from Hevea brasiliensis (rubber tree), 839 nucleotides. RefSeq lists it as uncharacterized. The transcript has 3 exons. Lineage: Eukaryota; Viridiplantae; Streptophyta; Magnoliopsida; Malpighiales; Euphorbiaceae. The record is from RefSeq and is a predicted model, not a curated record.